Molecule: transfer RNA, 82 nt
Filed under: Candidatus Pacearchaeota archaeon
Lineage: Archaea; Nanobdellati
Description: tRNA-Leu
Rfam family: tRNA
About the family: Transfer RNA (tRNA) molecules are approximately 80 nucleotides in length. Their secondary structure includes four short double-helical elements and three loops (D, anti-codon, and T loops).
Source: RNAcentral
GCCCAGGUGGCGGAACGGCAGACGCGGCGGACUUAAAAUCCGCUACCUAUACGGUGUGAGGGUUCAAGUCCCUCCCUGGGUA